RNAcentral lists this ribosomal RNA (497 nucleotides) under uncultured bacterium. Its description in RNAcentral is "partial 16S ribosomal RNA". It matches the Rfam family "Bacterial small subunit ribosomal RNA", at positions 28 to 507 of the family's 1533-position model. The record is from RNAcentral.
GAUGAACGCUGGCGGCGUGCCUAAUACAUGCAAGUCGAGCGAACGGACGAGAAGCUUGCUUCUCUGAUGUUAGCGGCGGACGGGUGAGUAACACGUGGAUAACCUCCCUAUAAGACUGGGAUAACUUCGGGAAACCGGAGCUAAUACCGGAUAAUAUUUUGAACCGCAUGGUUCAAAAGUGAAAGACGGUCUUGCUGUCACUUAUAGAUGGUUCCGCGCUGCAUUAGCUAGUUGGUAAGGUAACGGCUUACCAAGGCAACGAUGCAUAGCCGACCUGAGAGGGUGAUCGGCCACACUGGAACUGAGACACGGUCCAGGGUCCUACGAGAGGCAGCAGUAGGGAAUCUUCCGCAAUGGGGGAAAGCCUGACGGAGCAACGCCGCGUGAGUGAUGAAGGUCUUCGGAUCGUAAAACUCUGUUAUUAGGGAAGAACAUAUGUGUAAGUAACUGUGCACAUCUUGACGGUACCUAAUCAGAAAGCCACGGCUAACUACGUG